GAGGUAUUUUGACUGUGCUAAGGUAGCGAAGUCAUUUGUUCUUUUAUUGAGAACUUGUAUGAGUGGAGUUAUGGAGGUUUUUUUAUAAACGGUUUUUUGGCUGAAUUUGAUUUAUCUACGAAAAGUUAGAUUUGUUUUCAAAGACGAGAAGACCCCGAAAUCUUUAUUUUAAAAUAAUGGGUUUUAAUUUUUGUUUGGGGGAAAAGUUAAUUUGUAUUAUUUUCUUUUUUAGUGUGAACUUUGUUAGGUUAAAUGGAUAGAUACUUCGGGGUUAACAGGAUAAUUUUCUUUUGAAGUUCUUAUUUUAGAGGGAGAUUGUUACCUCGAUGUUGGCUUUUGA
RNAcentral lists this ribosomal RNA (340 nucleotides) under Demodex canis (dog follicle mite). RNAcentral's name for it is "partial 16S ribosomal RNA". Lineage: Eukaryota; Metazoa; Arthropoda; Arachnida; Trombidiformes; Demodicidae. The record is from RNAcentral.